GGAGAUUUACGGAGGCUGCGACGGUGCAAGAUGCCACUGCUGCGCUCCUGAAGACAAGAAAGAAUGCACGGCGAAUCAGAGAUGCACAAGGAGGAAUGGAUCCUGCUCAAGGAGGUCCUGUGGGAGCGGAGAGAAGGAGAUUUACGGAGGCUGCGACGGUGCAAGAUGCCACUGCUGCGCUCCUGAAGACAAGAAAGAAUGCAAACCCAAGAAGCAAUGUAAGUGGAAAGGCAGAUACUGCACGACGGGAAAAUGCAAAAACAACGAAAGGGUAAUAAAACGCGCUUGCCAAGGGAAGAAAUGCCGCUGCUGCGCCCCUGGUCGAGUUUGCAAGAGGAAGACUAAAUGCAAGGAGAACAAGGGUUCCUGCAGACAGGGCCGUUGCAAGAGCUACGAGAAGGAAAUAUACGAGGGUUGCAAGGGCCUUCGCUGCCGGUGCUGCGCUCU
This is a non-coding RNA of Penaeus vannamei (Pacific white shrimp), 447 nucleotides long. The record is from RefSeq and is a predicted model, not a curated record. Lineage: Eukaryota; Metazoa; Arthropoda; Malacostraca; Decapoda; Penaeidae.